UUCAGCGAUGUCCUCUCAAUUACUACUUUAAAAUGUCUCUAAUGUUUUUAGUUUGAGUGUUUUUGAAGGUAGACUUGCGCAUCAAUAAUUUCAGUUAAUACAGGAGCCCAAAAUCCAAGAUAUGUGAGAAAAUUAAAAGACUGAAUAGCAACUAAUAAUCCACCUGCUUCAAAUCUAGUCGAUGAAUUUUCAUCUCUGCUAGUUAAUGACUCAAGAGUUUCUAUAUUUUUAGAAAAUGUAUCCCUAACCAUCUUGACGGCUUCUCCUCUGGCGCUCCAGCGGGUCUCAACUAAACGUUUCCGGUUAUUUUGAUGAGGAUAUCCCAGCGGUGUGUUGAAGUUGAGAAAAACGCGUGUAAACGGUCCAGUGUACCAAAAAAUGUUACCGAAUCGACUUCAGCUUCAGCAGCUCGAAUUCCUGCUAAAUUAAGAGAAUGGUUUGAGCAGGCAAUGAAUAGUGCUUUGGGAUUGACUUCUAGAAUAAGUUUUUUGACAUUGUAGUUUUGACCUUUCAUGACCGCAGAAUUAUCUUAGCCUUGAUCCCUGCAGUCCAUUAUGUCUAAGCCAUCCGAACGCAGUUUUUCUUGAAUCAUCUCAGCGAUUCCAGCAGCAUGCUUGUCCUUCUCCAGGUUUUCGUCUCUUGUAUAAUCAAAUCUUGGGCCUUGUUGUCAAUAUGUUCCCUACUCUCAGGCGAACUUCAAGUUCCCUCCAAGCAAGCUAUGACUGAAUGUGAGCUCUGCUGGUCUCAUGUUUUUCUAUUUUUAGUUAGUUUAAAAAAAAACAACUCGUAGAAAACAAAGGUUAGCUUAUUUAAAAAUAUUGACAAUACAAUAGAAUUAUUUCCAAAAUUAAACUAUAAAGAAUCAUAAAGAAAUGAAUAAACUAAGACGAUUGUUUAGAGCUAGAGUUUAGAAAUAUAUUUGUAAACUCUAUAUCUAGAUUGAACCAGUGGACUAAACAAUGAAGUAAAAAAGGUUGGUCUAUCUUCUUCUUCUUCUUUAUAUUACAGAGCAUUAAUCAGUGUAGUAACAACAUGUACCAUGUGUCCGAAAUAAAUGUAGUAAAUUAGAUUCAAACUGUUCUAAAGCUUACAUUGUAUUGAAGAAAUAGUCAAGGAGAUGAAACAAAAUAGCGACAUGACUAGUUUAAAAAUCAUUAGUUCAUGUUUAAAAUACAGUAGUUUAUGUUUGUUCGUGUCCAUACAAUUAGUCGUUUUUACUGAAACGCUCAGGCAAAUAGGAAAAUAAUACACACUGGAGGAAUUUUGGGGCCCCUCACCACUUGGUGCCCUGUGCGGCACGCACCACCCGCACAUUGGUAGCUACGCCACUGCAUACACACAUACACACACACCUUUUUGUUUGCUACCCACGCUGACAGCAAGGAAAGUACCUAAACUAAAAAUAGGUCAUACCGACACCAGAAGUAGUUGCACUGAAAUCGAGAGCACUUUCAUUAACUUAAAAUUUUUAUUUUUUAAACAUGGAUAUACAACAAGGUAUAUAUAACAGCUGUUACAGCGAGACCUACAAAAAAUUGUAGCCAAUAUGACAGCCACCUGGAGAUUGUACAGGGAUUGUGUGGACACCAAGGUGAGGAUAUAAAUGUUGUUGAACAACCAUCUGAAGCCGAGCAGGAAACUGGAACUUCUAACUCGGACGAAGAGAAUAUCACGAAGAUUGUCGCCAAACUAGACUUCUAUAUGAAAACGUUACAGAAAUCACUAAAUAAUUCGAUCCAAAAGUUGAAAGGUUUGAAAUCUAAAGGAAAGAACAUCAAAGUAAAAAACAACUGUUCAAGGUUUAAAAGUGACACUAACCAGAAAAGAUUGUGUGUCUUGUUCAGACUUGUGUCGUACACAGUAGCUUUGAAGAAAAGCGCAAAUGCAACUAAAAACUACAAUGUAACAAAAGACUUAAAUACUCUAUCGGUUAUAAUGUGCAAAGUCCACCAGCUAGAUCGGGCUGCAUUGGCUAAGAUAGAUAAAUGUGAAUUCAUCAAUGAACUACCCUUAACAAACAAUAAUAAAGUUAAUUUGUACAUGGUUCUAGAAAAUUUGUACAAAUAUUUGCCGAUUGCGAGAAAGGACUUGGAAAAUUACAUCAAGAAACAGCCGCAAAUGAAACACAAAAAACAAUCAACAAAAAAACAUCCUACUGCAAAAAAAAACGAUGGAAAAAUAAAAAAUAAGAAAAAAUCCAUUAAAAAAACAAACAAACAAAAAGCCAUUAAAGAAUAAACAGUAAAAAUAGCGCGAAAAACCUGGCAGCAAAACAAAUGGACUAUUUGGAGAAAGUUUGGUUGAAGUCUAAUGUGCCUUGACUAUAUGUUAAAUAAUUUGUUCAAAGUCUUCCUAGUGCAAUCAAGUAUUACAAAUCAUUAUGUAAGCCCUGUCUCAAUCCCGAACUGAAACUAAAGACUGAAGAAUGCACAUAUGAGGUAUAAGUACCAAAGAAGUAACACACCAUUUCACACCAACACACCAAGGCAUACAUUAACUACACAUAUGUAUACAACAUAAAACACACACACACACACACACACACAAGACCACACAUGUAGAAAUAUGCCAUAUUUAUUUUUUUGUUUAAAUUAUUAUUUCAUUACAAACCUUUCAAACGAUGCUUUUCUUUAAAAAAUAUAUGUAAAUAGUAUCUGUACUACUAGAUCUGAUUUAAAUAUGAAGUCUUUUUAGUGCCUUCCAAUUGAAAACUGCCAUUUUUUUUUCUAGCAUUGGUUGUUUGACCAAGAAUCUCAGGAGAAUGAAAGAUCAAAGUUUAUCAUGUUAUUUAGUAAACAUAUAAUCAUAUAGUGUAACAUCCCUCUCUCUCACACACACACACACUAAAAAUACAUUAUUUUAAAAUGAUUUCCAUACAACAAACGUAUACCACGAUUAUAAUAGAAACUGGCAGAUAGUAUUCAUUUUAUUGCAUUUUUUAACCACAAAUGUCAAAGAAUGUUUUACUUUACUUAAAAUAAGCUUAAAAUAUUUUUUUUUCAUGUAUACUUUUUUUUUCCCCAAAUUCGUGUAUUUCUAUAACCAAUCAGGAUCAUUUGUGAUUUAUUGUGUUUUAGUCCUUUGUGUUUUGAAUGUAUAAUUUAUAGUACACUUGUUUCAUUAUUUUAAUUAUUUAUGAACUGUAAUUAUUAAGGGAUUUUAAUUAUACAACUGUAUUUAUUUAUGAAUUUCUAUUACUACUGAAUUUGAACUAUUUAUGAAAUAUAAUUAUUAAUGAAUUUAAAUUAUUAAAAAAAUGUAAUUAUUAAUAAAUUUUAAUUGAUUAUGAACUUGAAUUAUUUAUGAACUUUAUUUAUUUAUGACUUGAUGUUUUUUUCUUCAGAAAUUCAUUUUUUAAAACUGAUGAUUUUGUUAUAUAUGAUAUUGUGCCAUUCCUUGAUAUAGAUUUUGCUGUAGUUUAUUCAACAUUCAAAUUACUAAUUUUUUUUUAAAUACUGCAGCAUCACUGCCCCUGGAUGUUUUACCAAAAAGCAUUGUUUGCCUUACUGAUGUUAAAUAUACAGUGCAUAUUUUUUAUUUCUGAAUAUUUCAUGUACAGUUUUUAAACUUGCCAUUCAAUGAUGUAUAUAUAUGUAUAUAUUAUACAGUUUAUUUCUAGUAUUUACAUACCUAUUGUUUGUGAAAUGUAUUAUCGCUUCAAUUCGCAUUCCGAAAAAAUGUAUUCCAAUUUGUUUUAUAUUGUAAUUUACAAUGGCAUAUCAGUAUACUACAAAAGUCUAAGUCAGAUGGCGCUAGGCCCUCAUUUGGGUAACUAAAAUCUAGAGACAGAUAUAUUUGAAUGGGCUUUUAACCUAGAAACUUAUAAACAAAUGUUGGAACAGUGUGUUCUUUAUAGACAUUAGUGUGGACAGUGUUUAACAAGUGUUCCUAAGAGUAAAAACAGUAUAAAACAUAGCUCGAUGAUGAAAGACCAAAUUAUUUGUCAGUACAAAACAUCUCAUUGCGUCGCUCCGAUAGUCGUGUUUGCUUGUCACUUUAUUUGUAAUACCUUCUAGUCCCUAAGAACAUAUUUAUUAAUUACUGAUACAGUUGUUCAUUUUAUAACACUUGUUGUUAAAAUUAUAUGUCAUUUUAGUCUCAGUGAUAUUUCAAAAUGUUGAGAAUGUUUUUUUAAAUUCAUGAUAUGGUGAUGUCUUUAAGCUUUAUGAAUUCCAUUUUUUUUCCAACGGGUGCUUCAUUUAUUGCUCUUUGAUGCAAAUUUUGAUAAAAUAAAAACUUGUUGAAAAUAUUUUGAUGU
RNA transcript from Biomphalaria glabrata, 4258 nucleotides. RefSeq lists it as uncharacterized. The transcript has 4 exons. Lineage: Eukaryota; Metazoa; Mollusca; Gastropoda; Planorbidae. The record is from RefSeq and is a predicted model, not a curated record.